RNAcentral lists this long non-coding RNA (381 nucleotides) under Homo sapiens (human). Its description in RNAcentral is "HSALNT0143510". Lineage: Eukaryota; Metazoa; Chordata; Mammalia; Primates; Hominidae. The record is from RNAcentral.
UUUUUUUUUUUGCCACCACGUGUACAGUAAAGAAACAGGCAACACGGUGCUGACCACAUAGAGAACUCAUCUGCAUAAUAAAAGAUUAAGGUGGGGGUAGCCAGCCUUUUCAUACCCUAUAAAUGGCACACCUGGUCCAACCAAAUCUUUCCUGCCCUAUGUAAAUCAGGCACUGCCUCCUCAAGCUCACCUAUAAAACUCUCUGCAUUCCACUGGGGAACCAGCAACCCAUGUCUCUGGGACCUCUUUUUGCUGCUGAGAGCUCUUCUCUUUCUUUCACCUAUUAAACUGCCACUCUGAACCUCACUGUUUUGUUUUCUGUGGCCAUGAGACAACGAAUCUCAGGCACACUUUAAAAGGAAGCGAUAAGAAGAAAGGAAA